ACACAGACACACAGCGAGUGGGUCACGGUGACACUGCCUGCGGGGUACAGUGACACAUGGAGACUGCCUGACCUCAAGUAACUCUGUGGGGAGAGGGAACAGCCAGAGGACCCAGCCCCGGCGUGCCCCACUCUUGCCCUGUCCUGAGCCUCCAGGUUCAUCUCCGGCAUCUACUGGCCUCCAGAGAAAAAGAACAGAAGUUCCCAGCGGCGGUUCUGCAACAGCUCGAGCGCGGGGGACACGCGCAGCAGACGGCCCCAGACGCCUCAAGGCUGCGCGCGAAGACACGGCGCAGGCAGACUCACAGACGGGGCUCCCCCACCCUGGACACGGCGGCAGCGAGUUGGGAAGCCCAGGAAACCCCGGGUUCCCGUCGGAAGCCUCCCGGUACCCAGUCCCCUCCCGCAGCACCAAUCUGGGGCAGGACAUGGGGCCCCGACGC
RNAcentral lists this long non-coding RNA (442 nucleotides) under Homo sapiens (human). Its description in RNAcentral is "HSALNT0389685". The record is from RNAcentral. Lineage: Eukaryota; Metazoa; Chordata; Mammalia; Primates; Hominidae.